GCGGGUGUAGCUCAGGGGUAGAGCACAACCUUGCCAAGGUUGGGGUCGAGGGUUCGAUCCACUCACCGCUC
RNAcentral lists this transfer RNA (71 nucleotides) under Alphaproteobacteria bacterium. RNAcentral's name for it is "tRNA-Gly". It matches the Rfam family "tRNA". From Rfam's summary of the family: Transfer RNA (tRNA) molecules are approximately 80 nucleotides in length. Lineage: Bacteria; Pseudomonadati; Pseudomonadota; Alphaproteobacteria. The record is from RNAcentral.